Molecule: long non-coding RNA, 2356 nt
Filed under: Paramuricea clavata
Lineage: Eukaryota; Metazoa; Cnidaria; Anthozoa; Malacalcyonacea; Plexauridae
Source: RNAcentral
CAAGAGCUGUAGUUCGAAUUCAGAGUUAUAGAGUUCAUGUUAACUACAACAAUGGCCAACCAACAGGUAAUUGAUGUUGUUGUUUUCCCCAUAUUUUCUGACCAUAAGCAUGGACUCUUUGGCUAUGUUGAACGAGAUUGAACGAAUUUGGAAACCGUACGUACAUUUGUUUGCACAGUAAUUCGCAGGGUUAGUUUGUACUUAAUUCGCAGGGUUAGUUUGUACUUCAAGUCGUCCGGUUUCAUGCCUCCCAUGCAUGUGAGAAAAUCGCGCAAAUUUGAGUAUCGCGAGAGCAGAAUUUAUAGCAAUAUAGGUCCGGUUUCACCAGGACGAAGUCGAUCCAAGAUGAAAAUCGAAAUUUUCACAUGGUCCACAUGAUCCGUUACACGAAAAUUACAAAUCUUUCAAUCUAUUCCCCUUGCGCGCCAGUUUCUUUUUUACAGUGCUUUUGUGAGCAUGUAUUGUUCCGAAGAACAAUGCGUGCUCACAAAAGCACUGAGCCUGCAUUGUUCCAAGCAUUGUGAACAUGGAUUGUUCCAAGAGCACAGCCGAGUGCGGUCUGAAAUGUAUAUUUGUGUUUACAUUCAUCCCAGUCUGAAGAUAUUCGAUUUGGUCCAGUGAGCGGGAUGACUUCAGAUCGGUCUGAACAAUUUUUCGUCCUACAUUUCUGAAUAAUACUAUCGGACCGAAAUGAAAUCGUCCCUGUAUGACUAUAAUUAUACGUCGCGCGCUCUCGUGUAUUAAAACGCGGCCAUAUGUUGUAUAUACCCGUUUCUGUUGUCGGCAUCGUAAGACUAUAUGGUUGACUAAAGUAGAAUUGGAUACAAAAAUAGUGGUAAUCAUUUUAAUAGUUUUCUCUACUUCACUGGUCCAAUACAGUAUUUCAAAUCAAAUUAUUUACAUUCAGAAAUGUAUAUGAGCGAAGUGUUUUCAUCAUGGUUACCAUGACAACGACCUAAACACAGCAUCGGAAACCAAAGCGCUGAUCGCCAGAUGACUUUCGGACCACAUAUUCAAGUUGCAUGAUUUCGGCUCACACCUGAUGCAUGAAACGGGAUGGACUUGUGGUUUGCUAUCAAUCCCUUGGGAUUCAUAAAGCUUCGGAUACACGAGCAAUAUUUUUGAGCAAUAUAACGUAGCCUCAAUUCGCUGACGGACAGACGGAGGUACCCGAUCUCCGUGCCCGAUGCCACCAGAAGUAAUGAAAUUAUUUUAAAUGCUCUUUGGGACUCGUAAUAACACGAGCAAGGUGUAAAUGGACCAUACAGCUAACGGUAUGAAUGUUCCAUCCAGACAAAAAAACCCAAAAUCUAUUAUAAUCAGGCAAAUCGUUUAUUUUGGUAAUUUUCCGUUAAGACGGACCAAUCAAAUAUGCUGCGUAUUCCAUUUUCGUUCGGAAUCCAGGGGUGGUGAAAACUCGUUGUAACCUUCAUCAUGUUAACAAUAUAUAUUGCAGAAAAAUUUCAACGCUAACACAAAUCCAUGCAAAGUGACCAUAAUUUAUGAGCAUAUAAUAUAAUUAUAAAAGACGACCGAUUGGACCUCAUAUAGAGAGUUUAGUUGUUCAUUUUGUAAUUUAUAGAGAAAGGAUGAAGAUUCCAGGUAUGCUUUCGAUUUAGCACUUCAGGAGGCAGAUGAUUUUUACUUAGCUCAUGCGAUUGUAGUUUCAGAAAGAGAAGAAAUAUGCAGGCAACAACGACGACUGCGACCACCAACGCCACGUUGGCGGUCGCCACCAACGCGAUGUUGGUUAGAGCAAGAAGAUCGUGCAGUGGCUCAAUCGUUUGCAGAUUUGCAAAGAGAAGAGAUAUACUGGCAACAACGACAACGACGACUGCGACCACUAACGCCACGUUGGCGUUCGCCACCAACGUCAUGUUGGUCAGAGCAAGAAGAUCGUGCCGUGGCUCAAUCGUUUGCAGAUUUGCAAAGAGAAGAGAUAUACUGGCAACAACGACAGCGACGACUGCGACCACUAACGCCACAUUGGCGUUCGCCACCAGCGUCAUGUUGGUCAGAGCAAGAAGAUCGUGCCGUGGCUCAAUCGCUUGCAGAUUUGCAAAGAGAAGAAGUGUACAGACAACAGCGAAAACCAAAUUAUUUUCCAGCACACAGACAACAACAGCAACGAAAGAAAGGUCCGACAUUUUGGUCAAGAUACGGAGAUCACUUACAGCCGACGUGUUCGUCAGCACACAGUCAACAGCAACCGCCAAUACGAAGCUGCCUGGACUCACUGUAUUGGUUAACAUGCACUCAGCAGUUUCUGCCAAUGCAACAUUACGUAGAGCCAACAUACCAACAACCGCGACCAAAACAGGCAGAAUCAAAAGACAGACGACAGCAAGAACCAGAG